This 1206-nucleotide ribosomal RNA is filed under the name Triticum aestivum (bread wheat). RNAcentral describes it as "partial small subunit ribosomal RNA". The record is from RNAcentral. Lineage: Eukaryota; Viridiplantae; Streptophyta; Magnoliopsida; Poales; Poaceae.
AUGGACUACAUGAAUGGGCCAGGCCGGAACCACCUGUUCGUCCCUGGGCCGGUGAACAUUCCGGACCAGGUGAUCCGCGCCAUGAGCCGGCAGAACGAGGACUACCGCUCGCCGGCGAUCCCUGCCCUCACCAAGACCCUCCUGGAGGACGUGAAGAAGAUCUUCAAGACCACCACCGGCACCCCCUUCCUCUUCCCCACCACCGGCACCGGCGCCUGGGAGAGCGCGCUCACCAACACGCUCUCCCCGGGGGACCGGAUCGUGUCCUUCUCGCUGGGGCAGUUCAGCCUGCUGUGGAUCGACCAGCAGCAGCGCCUCGGGUUCAGCGUGGACGUGGUGGAGUCCGACUGGGGCUACGGCGCCGACCUCGGCGUCCUCGAGUCCAAGCUCCGCAGUGACUCGCAGCACACCAUCAAGGCCAUCUGCAUCGUCCACAACGAGACCGCCACCGGCGUCACCAACGACCUCCACGCCGUCCGCAAGCUCCUCGAUGCGUACCGGCACCCGGCGCUGCUGCUGGUGGACGGGGUGUCGUCCAUCUGCGCGCUGGACUUCCGCAUGGACGAGUGGGGCGUGGACGUGGCCCUGACGGGGUCGCAGAAGGCGCUGUCGCUGCCGACGGGGCUGGGCAUCGUGUGCGCCAGCCCCAAGGCGCUGGAGGCGGCCAAGACGGCCAAGUCGGUGCGCGUCUUCUUCGACUGGAAGGACUACCUCAAGUUCUACAAGAUGGGCACCUACUGGCCCUACACGCCCUCCAUCCAGCUCCUCUACGGCCUCCGCGCCGGCCUCGACCUCCUCUUCGAGGAGGGCCUCGACAACGUCAUCAAGAGGCACACACGCCUCGGCACCGCAACAAGGCUGGCGGUGGCGGCGUGGGGACUCAAGAACUGCACCGCGAAGGAGGAGAACUUCAGCGACACGGUCACCGCCGUCGUGGUGCCGCCGUACAUCGACAGCUCCGAGAUCGUCAAGCACGCGUGGAAGCGGUACAACCUCAGCCUCGGGCUCGGGCUGAACAAGGUCGCCGGCAAGGUCUUCAGGAUUGGACACCUGGGCCACCUCAACGAGCUGCAACUUCUGGGUUGCCUCAGCGGGGUGGAGAUGGUGCUCAAGGACAUCGGGUACCCGGUGAAGCUCGGCAGCGGCGUGGCGGCCGCCGCGGCGUACCUCUCGAAUUCCACGCCCCUCAUCCCCUCCAGGAUCUGA